Molecule: small nuclear RNA, 133 nt
Filed under: Canis lupus familiaris (dog)
Lineage: Eukaryota; Metazoa; Chordata; Mammalia; Carnivora; Canidae
Description: U4 spliceosomal RNA (multiple genes)
Rfam family: U4 spliceosomal RNA (bases 1-66)
Source: RNAcentral
AGCCUUGUGCAAUGGCAGUAUUCUAGCCAAUGAGGUCUAUCCGAGGCAUGAUUAUUGCUAACAGAAGGGCCAGAUGCAAAUCCUGUGUGUACCUGGCUAGGUAACCUGGGCCAAGUUCCUUACCUACCUUGGU